Molecule: unclassified non-coding RNA, 4142 nt
Filed under: Hevea brasiliensis (rubber tree)
Lineage: Eukaryota; Viridiplantae; Streptophyta; Magnoliopsida; Malpighiales; Euphorbiaceae
Source: RNAcentral
GCAAGUCUAACUGGCAAUUUCUUCGAAGUUGCCUCUUUCACUCUCCCUCUUCCAUUCCACAUCAAACUUAUUUCUUUUCCCUAUUUCAACCUUCCGUCGCCAUUAAAUCAACAUAUGAUUUUCAUUUUAAAUUAUUUUAAUAUUUUUUUCUCACUGCUGUUCAUGAUUCCCACAAGAUCGAAUUCAACUUGUUUAUUCCCUUCUUUCUUAUAGAAUUUAGCGCCGCAUCCAUUAAUCUCAUCACCAAACCCUCUUUUAACCUUUUUCAUGUUUUUACCUGUUCUUGCUUUUCUCAUACCCAUAUUUCUCAUUUUUGUUGUUUUCCUUUUUACUGGAUGGAUGAAACUUGCCUCCCACUAUGGAUAAGAACACUUCACUGGCAAACAAGCCGACCCUCUUUUCAUUUUUAGUUUACCAUUCUUGAAUUCUCUCCUUCCUCUUCUUUUUAUAUUUUUCUGUUGGGUAUUGCUUAGAUAUGGAUUUUUAGUCCCUCUUCCGCGAAACCUUAGCUUUAAGAACAAUGGCUAAGGCAUUGUUGUUGGUUAUUUUCAUCUGGGUACUUCUUAUCGGUUUUGUUUCCUGCCAAAGGCCUAAAUUUGUCAAUAUUGGUGCAGUUUUUACUUUUGAUUCGGUUAUUGGUAGAGCUGCAAGGCCAGCAAUAGAGGCUGCAGUGUCUGAUAUUAAUAGGGAUACAAGAAUUCUCAAUGGGACAGAGCUGAGGCUGUUUACGCAAGAUGCUAAGUGUAAUGUCUUCUUGGGUUCUAUUGGAGCUUUUCAGAUACUUGAGAAACAAGUAGUGGCCAUAAUUGGUCCGCAAUCCUCUGGAAUAGCUCAUAUGAUUUCUGAAAUUGCAAAUGGUCUCCAAGUGCCCCUUGUUUCAUAUGCUGCUACUGAUCCCACUCUAUCUGCCCUUCAGUUCCCCUUUUUUCUGAGAACCACACAAAGUGACUCGAAUCAGAUGGCUGCCAUGGCUGAUUUGAUUGAUUUUUAUGGUUGGAAACAGGUCAUUGCAAUAUAUGUGGAUGAUGAUCAUGGGAGGAAUGGAAUUACAGCAUUAGGAGACAAGCUUGCUGAGAGACGUUGCAAGAUCUCAUAUAAAGCUCCUUUCAGUCCCAAUAUGGACCAGCCCAAUGAGAUAUCAGAUGUAUUGUACGAGGUAGCCUUAAUGGAGUCUAGGAUUAUUGUUCUUCAUGCUUACCCAGAUACGGGUCUGGAGGUGCUUAAAGAGGCUAGGCAUCUAAGGAUGAUGGGAGCUGGGUAUGUGUGGAUAGUUACUGAUUGGCUUUCUACCAAAAUAGACACUUAUUCUCCCCACCUUACAGAAGCCAUGGAUGAUAUUCAAGGAGUUAUUACUUUGAGAAUGUAUGCACCAGAUUCACAACAAAAAACCAAAUUUGCUUUUGGGUGGAGCAAUUUGACUAGCAGAAAUGCAACUGGUGGCGCUUUUGGGUUAAAUACUUAUGGUCUAUAUGCUUAUGACACUGUCUGGCUGCUUGCUUAUGCAAUUGAUGCAUUUUUAAAUCAGAAGGGAAACCUUUCAUUUUCAUAUCAUCCGGGGUUAUCAGAACUACAGAGAGAGAACCUACAUGCAGAUGCUUUUAAAAUCUUUAGAGAAGGAAAUUGGUUGCUUCACAGCAUUUCACAGGUUAAUUUCACUGGUUUAACAGGCUCAAUCUACUUUUCUGAUGGGAACCUCGUUCAUCCUGCAUAUGAAGUGAUCAAUGUGAUUGAGACAGGAUUUAAGAGGGUUGGGUAUUGGUCUAAUUAUUCAGGGUUAUCAGUAGAACCUCCAGAAAAGCUUUAUACAAAACCACCUAGUAAUUCAAGUCAACAGCUAAGCAGUGUAAUCUGGCCUGGACAAACAGUACAAGGCAAGCGUUUGAGAAUUGGUGUCCCAAAUCGAGUCUUUUAUCACGAGUUUGUCUCAGUACAAGGCACUAAUGUGUUCAGUGGCUACUGCGUUGAUGUGUUUACCGCUGCCAUGAAAUUACUGCCUUAUGUUGUGCCAUAUGACUUUGAAGCAUUUGGGGACGGUCAUAGUAACCCAAAUACCACUGAGCUUCUGCGAUUGAUCUCAGUGGGUAGGUAUGAUGCAGCAAUAGGUGACAUUUCCAUCACGACUGAUCGAGCAAGGAUGGUGGAUUUCACACAGCCAUUUAUAGAGUCUGGCCUAGUCGUAGUGGCCCCAGUCAGGAAGUUAAACUCUAGCGCUUGGGCAUUCCUGAGGCCAUUCACUCCAAUGAUGUGGCUUGUAACAGCAAUUUUCUUCCUUGUUACGGGUUUGGUGGUGUGGAUUUUGGAGCACAGGAUCAAUGGUGAUUUCCGAGGCCCUCCUAGAAGACAAAUUGUAACUAUUCUGUGGUAAGUGUCUAUUCAUUGAUGGUGUGCUAGUGCAGUUUAACUUGUGAAUAGUUCAUACCUCAUCUUUGCAUAUUAGCAUACAAUUAGUAGGUAGAUCAAUCAUGUUUUACCAUCUGAAGUUUCCAGACUCCACUCCUUUGUAAGUGAUUUUAAUUAAGUUUCAAACAUGCUCGAUAUCCAAAUAUUCCAGCAGCUAACAUUUGUGAACAUGUACUGCAGGUUUAGCUUUUCUACCUUGUUUUUUGCCCAUAGUAAGUGGCAUUGUUAAGUAGUCUUCUCUGGUUAUCAUAGGAACCAAGCUAAAAUUCACAGAUACUAAUGGAGCACUUCCUUUCCUGAUAUAUGCAGAAGAAAAGACGCUGAGCACCCUUGGUCGCCUGGUGCUAAUAAUCUGGCUCUUUGUAGUUCUUGUUCUCAAUUCAAGCUACAUUGCAAGUUUGACCUCAAUUCUCACAGUGGAACAACUCACUUCUUCUAUUAAAGGAAUUGAAAGUUUGGUAUCUAGCAAGGACCCUAUUGGCUACCAGCGAGGUUCAUUUGCAGGAAAUUACUUAAUCAAUGAAUACAAAAUAGAUAAGUCUAGGCUCAUUCCUCUCAACUCUGCGGAAGAUUGUGUUAAAGCCUUGCAAGAUGGUCCUCAGAAAGGUGGUGUUGCUGCUGUCAUUGAUGAAAGAGCAUACAUAGAACUCUUUCUCUCAUCUCAAUGUGAAUUCAGUAUUGUUGGUCAAGAAUUCAGCCAAAAUGGGUGGGGAUUUGUACGUGUAUCCAGUUUAUAGUGUAUCCUUAAAUCGUUCAACUAGGAACUCUUCCAAGAUAGAUUUUACAAGUUUUCUUGAAUUCCUUGUUAAGAUACAUUACUGUUUAUGUCACCUGAGGAAAACUCUAUACAUUCUUGCCUCAGAUUCAUAUGUCAAGCAUUUUAUAACCGGGUUCUUUAUGGUUUUCAAUUGUCAUCAGGCCUUUCCAAGAGAUUCUGCACUAGCACUAGGCAUGUCGACUGCGAUCCUGCAACUGUCAGAGGUUGGAGAACUGCAAAGAAUGCACGACAAAUGGCUUCUGGGCAGUGCUUGCAGAUCAGAAGGUGCAAAAGAAGAUGCAAACCGGCUUCAUCUUACAAGCUUUUGGGUCCUCUUUCUCAUUUGCGGUUUAGCCUUCGUACUAGCCCUCCUUUUAUAUAUAAUAAAGACUGUCAGAAAAUUUGCCAAGCACCGUUCAGAGGAACUCGAGGGGUCUUCAUCAAGAAGUUCACCAUCUGUACUUUUUCAGGCAUUUCUUUCAUUUCUUGAUAAAAUGGAAGAGGAUGUGAAAAGCAGGCCAAAGAGAAGGCGAACAGAUAGGAGAACCUCAAACAGAAUCAUAGAUGGAACCGGAUGUGCAUCAAGAAAUAGUGGUUCUUCCAAAAGUGCAAUUGCUGCCUUGGAAGUCUAAAUAUAUAUAUAUAUAGUUUCUAAAAGGUGAAGAAGAGAAAAGCAAUGUCAAUGAAGGAAGAUGGGGUUCUGUGACUUGUGUGAAAUCCACUUCUUUGUCAUUAAGAACAAUUAACCCCAGCAACACAACAGGGAAAAAAAAAAAAAUAAUUGCUCGCCUAGGUUUAGCGAUGUGGUCAUGUGGAGGAUGUAAUUUGACAUGAGACCCCACCAUUAAUAAAGGAAAGGACAGGAAUUUUCGCAGGUAUUCUCUGUAAUUCCAUUCAAAGCCACUAACAAGAUCAGCCAUUGUGAUUAGACCUGAACAACCCCAUCAACACUUAAAUAUUAAGUGAUAUCCUUAUACAAAUAAAA